Molecule: small nuclear RNA, 159 nt
Organism: Amblyraja radiata (thorny skate)
Lineage: Eukaryota; Metazoa; Chordata; Chondrichthyes; Rajiformes; Rajidae
Product: U1 spliceosomal RNA
Exons: 1
Source: RefSeq, a predicted model, not a curated record
AUAUUUCUGUGGCUGAGGUGAAACAGUGAUCAAAAUGGUGGAUCUCCCAGGACCAGGCUAUUCUAUUGCACUUCGGAUGUGCUGAAGCCUGCAUGUCCCCAAAUGCAGGAUACUCGACUGCAAGAUUUCUGCUAAUGGGGGGACUGCAUUAGCGCUUAA